AAGAAAACAAGGGUGAUCUAAUAAUUUUUUCCGUGACUGUAAAGGGUUUAGUCCCGCUAGCCAUGAUGAAGAGCUGUAAUAUUCCCUUCUGAGCGUGAAGUGGAUAGAGAACAAUGAUUCCGUUCAUAUGUCCUCUAUCACUGAUGACCGUUUGGAAUUUCCCCUUGUGGGACAAAUAAAGGAAUAUCUUAUCUUAUCUUAUAGC
Small nucleolar RNA from Sphaeramia orbicularis (orbiculate cardinalfish), 205 nucleotides. Its record names the gene U3. It matches the Rfam family "Small nucleolar RNA U3". Rfam says of the family: Small nucleolar RNAs (snoRNAs) are involved in the processing and modification of rRNA in the nucleolus. There are two main classes of snoRNAs: the box C/D class, and the box H/ACA class. NCBI's taxonomy places the organism in Eukaryota, Metazoa, Chordata, Actinopteri, Kurtiformes, Apogonidae. The record is from Ensembl.